GAUGAACGCUGGCGGCGUGCCUAAUACAUGCAAGUCGAGCGAACAGACGAGGAGCUUGCUCCUUUGACGUUAGCGGCGGACGGGUGAGUAACACGUAGGUAACCUACCUAUAAGACUGGGAUAACUUCGGGAAACCGGAGCUAAUACCGGAUAAUAUUUCGAACCGCAUGGUUCGAUAGUGAAAGAUGGCUUUGCUAUCACUUAUAGAUGGACCUGCGCCGUAUUAGCUAGUUGGUAAGGUAACGGCUUACCAAGGCAACGAUACGUAGCCGACCUGAGAGGGUGAUCGGACACACUGGAACUGAGACACGGUCCAGACUCCUACGGGAGGCAGCAGUAGGGAACCUUCCGCAAUGGGCGAAAGCCUGACGGAGCAACGCCGCGUGAGUGAUGAAGGUCUUCGGAUCGUAAAACUCUGUUAUUAGGGAAGAACAAACGUGUAAGUAACUGUGCACGUCUUGACGGUACCUAAUCAGAAAGCCACGGCUAACUACGUG
This 497-nucleotide ribosomal RNA is filed under the name uncultured bacterium. RNAcentral describes it as "partial 16S ribosomal RNA". It matches the Rfam family "Bacterial small subunit ribosomal RNA", at positions 28 to 507 of the family's 1533-position model. The record is from RNAcentral.